AAGGGAGAGAUCCAGAAAGGUAGAUUCUUCUGUGUAGAAUUACAAUGUUCCUGAAAAGCCACUUUCCUGAGAAGAACUGCAACAGAUUUUCAUGAUAUCAAGAAGGCUUUAUGUUCCUGUAAGAAAGUUUGGCUGUAAGUUCCUAUCAAGAUUCUACAAGAACAUAUUGAUGCUCUGAAAGAUAACCCCAGAAGAGUAUGAGGAGACAUACACAGUCUACACAGAUGGGGUUUCACCGUGUCAGCCAGGAUGGUCC
This 256-nucleotide long non-coding RNA is filed under the name Homo sapiens (human). RNAcentral describes it as "HSALNT0345386". Lineage: Eukaryota; Metazoa; Chordata; Mammalia; Primates; Hominidae. The record is from RNAcentral.